UACGUAGGUGGCAAGCGUUGUCCGGAGUUAUUGGGCGUAAAGCGCGCGCAGGCGGUGCGGUAAGUCUCUGGUGAAAGCGCUCGGCUUAACUGGGCGAGGGCCGGGGAGACUGCCACGCUGGAGGGGAGCAGAGGCGAGUGGAAUUCCGGGUGUAGUGGUGAAAUGCGUAGAGAUCCGGAGGAACACCAGUGGCGAAGGCGGGUCUCUGGGCCGAUACUGACGCUGAGGAGCGAAAGCGUGGGGAGCGAACAGG
This 253-nucleotide ribosomal RNA is filed under the name uncultured bacterium. RNAcentral's name for it is "partial 16S ribosomal RNA". It matches the Rfam family "Bacterial small subunit ribosomal RNA", at positions 524 to 776 of the family's 1533-position model. The record is from RNAcentral.